RNAcentral lists this ribosomal RNA (309 nucleotides) under Klebsiella pneumoniae. RNAcentral describes it as "partial 23S ribosomal RNA". It matches the Rfam family "Bacterial large subunit ribosomal RNA", at positions 2634 to 2925 of the family's 2925-position model. The record is from RNAcentral. Lineage: Bacteria; Pseudomonadati; Pseudomonadota; Gammaproteobacteria; Enterobacterales; Enterobacteriaceae.
GUCCCUAUCUGCCGUGGGCGCUGGAGAAUUGAGGGGGGCUGCUCCUAGUACGAGAGGACCGGAGUGGACGCAUCACUGGUGUUCGGGUUGUCAUGCCAAUGGCACUGCCCGGUAGCUAAAUGCGGAAGAGAUAAGUGCUGAAAGCAUCUAAGCACGAAACUUGCCCCGAGAUGAGUUCUCCCUGAGACUUUAAGUCUCCUGAAGGAACGUUGAAGACGACGACGUUGAUAGGCCGGGUGUGUAAGCGCAGCGAUGCGUUGAGCUAACCGGUACUAAUGAACCGUGAGGCUUAACCUUACAACGCCGAAG